CUACGGAGGGUGCAAGCGUUAAUCGGAAUUACUGGGCGUAAAGCGUACGUAGGCGGUUCGUUAAGUUAGAUGUGAAAGCCCCGGGCUUAACCUGGGAACUGCAUUUAAAACUGGCGAACUAGAGUUGAGUAGAGGGGAGUGGAAUUUCAGGUGUAGCGGUGCAAUGCGUAGAGAUCUGAAGGAACACCAGUGGCGAAGGCGACUCCCUGGACUCGAACUGACGCUGAGGUACGAAAGCGUGGGUAGCAAACGGGAUUAGAAACCCUAGUAGUCC
This 274-nucleotide ribosomal RNA is filed under the name uncultured bacterium. Its description in RNAcentral is "partial 16S ribosomal RNA". It matches the Rfam family "Bacterial small subunit ribosomal RNA", at positions 523 to 796 of the family's 1533-position model. The record is from RNAcentral.